AACAGGAUUAGAUACCCUGGUAGUCCAUGCCNNNNNCGAUGAGUGCUAAGUGUUGGAGGGUUUCCGCCCUUCAGNGCUGCAGCUAACGCAUUAAGCACUCCGCCUGGGGAGUACGACCGCAAGGUUGAAACUCAAAGGAAUUGACGGGGGCCCGCACAAGCGGUGGAGCAUGUGGUUUAAUUCGAUGCUACGCGAAGAACCUUACCAGGUCUUGACAUCUUCUGCUAACCUAAGAGAUUAGGCGUUCCCUUCGGGGACGGAAUGACAGGUGGUGCAUGGUUGUCGUCAGCUCGUGUCGUGAGAUGUUGGGUUAAGUCCCGCAACGAGCGCAACCCUUAUUGUCAGUUGCCAGCAUUUAGUUGGGCACUCUGGCGAGACUGCCGGUGACAAACCGGAGGAAGGUGGGGAUGACGUCAAAUCAUCAUGCCCCUUAUGACCUGGGCUACACACGUGCUACAAUGGACGGUACAACGAGUCGCGAAACCGCGAGGUCAAGCUAAUCUCUUAAAGCCGUUCUCAGUUCGGAUUGCAGGCUGCAACUCGCCUGCAUGAAGUUGGAAUCGCUAGUAAUCGUGGAUCAGCAUGCCACGGUGAAUACGUUCCCGGGCCUUGUACACACCGCCCGUCACACCAUGAGAGUUUGUAACACCCAAAGCCGGUGAGGUAACCUUCGGGAACCAGCCGUCUAAGGUGGGACAGAUGAUUAGGGUGAAGUCGUAACAAGGUAACC
RNAcentral lists this ribosomal RNA (730 nucleotides) under uncultured Lactobacillus sp. RNAcentral's name for it is "bacterial SSU rRNA". It matches the Rfam family "Bacterial small subunit ribosomal RNA", at positions 771 to 1501 of the family's 1533-position model. Lineage: Bacteria; Bacillati; Bacillota; Bacilli; Lactobacillales; Lactobacillaceae. The record is from RNAcentral.